RNAcentral lists this ribosomal RNA (465 nucleotides) under uncultured bacterium. Its description in RNAcentral is "partial 16S ribosomal RNA". It matches the Rfam family "Bacterial small subunit ribosomal RNA", at positions 339 to 795 of the family's 1533-position model. The record is from RNAcentral.
CUACGGGGGGCUCCAGUGGGGAAUAUUGGACAAUGGGGGAAACCCUGAUCCAGCAAUGCCGCGUGUGUGAAGAAGGCCUGCGGGUUGUAAAGCACUUUCGGUUGGGAGGACUGCUUCUAGCACUAAUAUUGUUGGAAGUUGACGUUACCUUCAGAAGAAGCACCGGCUAACUCCGUGCCAGCAGCCGCGGUAAUACGGAGGGUGCAUGCGUUAAUCGGAAUUACUGGGCGUAAAGCGCGCGUAGGCGGCUAGAUCAGUCGGGUGUGAAAGCCCCGGGCUUAACCUGGGAACUGCAUCCGAUACUGUCUAGCUUGAGUACAGGAGAGGAGAGUGGAAUUCCACAUGUAGCGGUGAAACGCGUAGAUAUGUGGAGGAACACCAAUGGCGAAGGCAGCUCUCUGGCCUGAUACUGACGCUGAGGUGCGAAAGCGUGGGGAGCAAACAGGAUUAGAUACCCUCGUAGUC